Molecule: transfer RNA, 77 nt
Filed under: bacterium
Lineage: Bacteria
Also listed under: 3 other names
Description: tRNA-Pro
Rfam family: tRNA
About the family: Transfer RNA (tRNA) molecules are approximately 80 nucleotides in length. Their secondary structure includes four short double-helical elements and three loops (D, anti-codon, and T loops). Further hydrogen bonds mediate the characteristic L-shaped molecular structure. tRNAs have two regions of fundamental functional importance: the anti-codon, which is responsible for specific mRNA codon recognition, and the 3' end, to which the tRNAs corresponding amino acid is attached (by aminoacyl-tRNA synthetases). tRNAs cope with the degeneracy of the genetic code in two manners: having more than one tRNA (with a specific anti-codon) for a particular amino acid; and 'wobble' base-pairing, i.e. permitting non-standard base-pairing at the 3rd anti-codon position.
Source: RNAcentral
CGGGGUGUGGCUCAGCUUGGUAGAGCGCUUGGUUCGGGACCAAGAGGUCGUCGGUUCAAAUCCGGCCGCCCCGACCA